This 593-nucleotide ribosomal RNA is filed under the name uncultured bacterium. RNAcentral describes it as "bacterial SSU rRNA". It matches the Rfam family "Bacterial small subunit ribosomal RNA", at positions 8 to 612 of the family's 1533-position model. The record is from RNAcentral.
AGAGUUUGAUCAUGGCUCAGAGUGAACGCUGGCGGCGUGCCUAACACAUGCAAGUCGAACGAGAACGGAUAUAAGUUUACUUAUAUUGUCAGCUAAGUGGCGCACGGGUGAGUAAUAUAUAGUUAAUCUGCCCUGAAGAAGAGAAUAAUUGUUGGAAACGACUUGUAAUGCUCUAUAUGCCUUUAUCACAUAAGUGAGCAAGGGAAAUAUUUAUAGCUUCGGGAUGAGACUGUACGGUAUCAGCUAGUUGGUGAGGUAAUGGCUCACCAAGGCUAUGACAUCUAACUGGUUUGAGAGGAUGAUCAGUCACACUGGAACUGAGACACGGUCCAGACUCCUACGGGAGCCAGCAGUGGGGAAUAUUGCACAAUGGAGGAAACUCUGAUGCAGCAACGCCGCGUGGAGGAUGACACAUUUCGGUGCGUAAACUCCUUUUAUUAGGGAAGAUAAUGACGGUACCUAAUGAAUAAGCACCGGCUAACUCCGUGCCAGCAGCCGCGGUGAUACGGGGGGUGCAAGCGUUACUCGGAAUCACUGGGCGUAAAGAGCAUGUAGGCUGAUUAGUAAGUUGGAAGUGAAAUCCUAUGGCUCAA